This 1455-nucleotide ribosomal RNA is filed under the name Campylobacter jejuni. RNAcentral describes it as "partial 23S ribosomal RNA". It matches the Rfam family "Bacterial large subunit ribosomal RNA", at positions 1 to 1484 of the family's 2925-position model. Lineage: Bacteria; Pseudomonadati; Campylobacterota; Epsilonproteobacteria; Campylobacterales; Campylobacteraceae. The record is from RNAcentral.
AGGUAAGCUACUAAGAGCGAAUGGUGGAUGCCUUGACUGGUAAAGGCGAUGAAGGACGUACUAGACUGCGAUAAGCUACGGGGAGCUGUCAAGAAGCUUUGAUCCGUAGAUUUCCGAAUGGGGCAACCCAAUGUAUAGAGAUAUACAUUACCUAUAUAGGAGCGAACGAGGGGAAUUGAAACAUCUUAGUACCCUCAGGAAAAGAAAUCAAUAGAGAUUGCGUCAGUAGCGGCGAGCGAAAGCGCAAGAGGGCAAACCCAGUGCUUGCACUGGGGGUUGUAGGACUGCAAUGUGCAAGAGGUAAGUUUAGCAGAACAUUCUGGAAAGUAUAACCAUAGAGGGUGAUAGUCCCGUAUGCGAAAAACAAACCUUAGCUAGCAGUAUCCUGAGUAGGGCGGGACACGAGGAAUCCUGUCUGAAUCCGGGUCGACCACGAUCCAACCCUAAAUACUAAUACCAGAUCGAUAGUGCACAAGUACCGUGAGGGAAAGGUGAAAAGAACUGAGGUGAUCAGAGUGAAAUAGAACCUGAAACCAUUUGCUUACAAUCAUUCAGAGCCCUAUGUAGCAAUACAGGGUGAUGGACUGCCUUUUGCAUAAUGAGCCUGCGAGUUGUGGUGUCUGGCAAGGUUAAGCAAACGCGAAGCCGUAGCGAAAGCGAGUCUGAAUAGGGCGCUUAGUCAGAUGCUGCAGACCCGAAACGAAGUGAUCUAUCCAUGAGCAAGUUGAAGCUAGUGUAAGAACUAGUGGAGGACUGAACCCAUAGGCGUUGAAAAGCCCCGGGAUGACUUGUGGAUAGGGGUGAAAGGCCAAUCAAACUUCGUGAUAGCUGGUUCUCUCCGAAAUAUAUUUAGGUAUAGCGUUGUGUCGUAAUAUAAGGGGGUAGAGCACUGAAUGGGCUAGGGCAUACACCAAUGUACCAAACCCUAUCAAACUCCGAAUACCUUAUAUGUAAUCACAGCAGUCAGGCGGCGAGUGAUAAAAUCCGUCGUCAAGAGGGAAACAACCCAGACUACCAGCUAAGGUCCCUAAAUCUUACUUAAGUGGAAAACGAUGUGAAGUUACUUAAACAACCAGGAGGUUGGCUUAGAAGCAGCCAUCCUUUAAAGAAAGCGUAAUAGCUCACUGGUCUAGUGAUUUUGCGCGGAAAAUAUAACGGGGCUAAAGUAAGUACUGAAGCUGUAGACUUAGUUUACUAAGUGGUAGGAGAGCGUUCUAUUUGCGUCGAAGGUAUACCGGUAAGGAGUGCUGGAGCGAAUAGAAGUGAGCAUGCAGGCAUGAGUAGCGAUAAUUAAUGUGAGAAUCAUUAACGCCGUAAACCCAAGGUUUCCUACGCGAUGCUCGUCAUCGUAGGGUUAGUCGGGUCCUAAGUCGAGUCCGAAAGGGGUAGACGAUGGCAAAUUGGUUAAUAUUCCAAUACCAACAUUAGUGUGCGAUGGAAGGACGCUUAGGGCUA